RNAcentral lists this transfer RNA (87 nucleotides) under Sphingobium phage Lacusarx. Its description in RNAcentral is "tRNA-Ser". It matches the Rfam family "tRNA". From Rfam's summary of the family: Transfer RNA (tRNA) molecules are approximately 80 nucleotides in length. Their secondary structure includes four short double-helical elements and three loops (D, anti-codon, and T loops). Further hydrogen bonds mediate the characteristic L-shaped molecular structure. tRNAs have two regions of fundamental functional importance: the anti-codon, which is responsible for specific mRNA codon recognition, and the 3' end, to which the tRNAs corresponding amino acid is attached (by aminoacyl-tRNA synthetases). tRNAs cope with the degeneracy of the genetic code in two manners: having more than one tRNA (with a specific anti-codon) for a particular amino acid; and 'wobble' base-pairing, i.e. permitting non-standard base-pairing at the 3rd anti-codon position. Lineage: Duplodnaviria; Heunggongvirae; Uroviricota; Caudoviricetes. The record is from RNAcentral.
GGAGAGUUGCCAGAGCGGUAAUGGGCUGGCUUGCUAAGCCAAGACAACCUCACGGUUGCGAGGGUUCGAUCCCCUCACUCUCCUCCA